AACGAGCGAGGAAACAGGGCCAGAGAAUUGGAACAAAAUACAAGGCUGCCUCUGAAAGGAAUAUCUUUGUGCUGAUGUGUCCAUCAAGAGAACAUACACAGAAGUGACACUUGCCAGUAAUUUGCAAGCAGAUGGAACUUCAAUAUGGCAAUAGAGAAAGAAUCAAUUAGACCAGAGUCUCCUCAGGAAGACUUUCUAUAGGUGGACGGUCCCCUGGAGAGCCCGCUGUGUUGGAAGAUGUAGAAUAUUCAUAUAUCUGGUGAGCAUCUGCUAGAUGCCAGGGUUGGGGAGAGUCAAGUUGAAGCAAGCAUGAACCCUCAAGGACCUACCAUUUCAAGGCAAGAAAUAGAUACAAAUACAGUUGAGAGCCAUCUGUGAAGUUAAUUUCAGCACUGUUUACUCUUUCCUCCUAAAUCACUAAUGAAGAUGAAACAUUCAAUGGAAUUGAGCUUUGCACCCCUUUCUGGGAAAUUCCACCGAGGCUUGCUCUUGUUUCAGAAAAUAUUUACUGGAUAGCUACUAGACAUAAGGAUGCAGAAAUGAAUUAGAAAAAUUCCUCGCCCUUGUUCAAAGCUAUGCUGGCUCUUAGAACAUCUGAGCCCCCACUGUUUCAUCUUUAGAGGAUCCCAGCUGCUGGGGUGUGAGGCCAGUGCUGGAGCCAGCAGUCUCUGACCCAGAAGGGACCUGAGGUGCUAAAGAAAAGGGUACAAGCUGGAAAAGGGGAAAAUGAAUCAUGCUACAGGCCAAGUGUCCAUCACUGAUUCCCAGAGAUGCCCUUUGUGUGGUAGGCACUUCCAUGUGGACUCGCUACAGAGGUACAUGCAUAGGUCCAAGAUAGGCGUCCCUCAGCUCAUGGCCUAUAUUCCAGCUUGUAGACUUUUGCUAAGGAUGACCCCUCACCAGUAACCAGCUCUGGUCCCAAGCUCCUGGCUGCAGUCUUUAGUGUCCACAAACCCACAGAGGCUCAUCAUCCUCAACUGUGGGAGUGCACCUUUUCCUGCUGGUUCCUCCUCGUUGCCCUGGUAUUUCUCCAAAUGUUGUUCUCCCUCUGCUCAAAUAGGCAUGGAGCAGGGGCAGAUCAGAAAGUAUGAUGUCCAGCCAUCCUCCAACCAAAGAACAAAGUGCUAGACUAUCAUCAUUGCACGUACCCCCAGUCUCUACUGGGGAUGCCUAAGAGUCUUCCUUUCAUGUUGUGAAAUGAGGAGUGACUCUUCUGCUCCCAUUGUGGGGAGGAAGGGAAUAAAUAGACCCC
RNAcentral lists this long non-coding RNA (1252 nucleotides) under Homo sapiens (human). RNAcentral describes it as "long intergenic non-protein coding RNA 1643". Lineage: Eukaryota; Metazoa; Chordata; Mammalia; Primates; Hominidae. The record is from RNAcentral.